UCUUAGUGAGCAGCUGCCGAGUAGCUCGCUGAAAGUCACUCGGAGGGAGAAAAACUGCCCACAAAGGCUCUCCACGGAGCCGGGGGGGAGGGGGGGCUCGCCAACUCUUUCGGAAGAGGCAGCGAAGGGAGGAGGGGGGAGAACCGCGCAGGUCAGCCCCCAUGUCCUCACUUAAGUCGAGGAAACUCUUUCUCCGGCCCUCCGCUAAAGUCGCCCGGGAAGAGGCUGCCGGAGUUGCCCCAGUUCGGCAGAGACGGGCAGGAGCGGAGGAGGAGGGAGAUCCUGAGCCCUCAACACUUCUCUCUGCGGGGAAGUAGCUGGGAGCGCGGGGCUGGCAGGAAGAGCUCAGCUGCUGGGCGGCGGGAAGCAGGGGGGCAGGGAGCGCCCGCCAGCGAGCACUGUCAGAUCAUUUCUUAGAUCCUGUUUGGAGUACGGGUACAUAAACAAUUGAAUCAGCACAAGUGAAGGUGCAGUGAACUCCUGUUGGGGCCUGGGAUGUUUGCAGUCUGGUCAGGUGAAGAGACGUAGGAGUCUCCUCGACCAGCUGUGCCCUGGAGGGAUUCAUAACACAGAACCAGGCUCCGAUCAAACACAGCUAUUGUAAACUAGUUUAUACACAAGACAUCUAAGAAGCUAACAGAAGAAUCCCUCAAAUUGUGGGAUUUGCUUAUGAGAGCUGGAAAUAAAAGAAGAAAACAACAGAAAUUGUGUGCUGGAUUCAUGCCAAGUGUUCCAACUUGUCACAUUUCCAAGAUCCUACCUCCAUCUUCAAGCCAGUUUCCUUUGGUUUAGUUUUCCUCAUCAGCCACCAUUAAGGUUUCUCUCAGCCAGUGCCUCUUAGGUGUCACCUCCCUUCCUAAUCACGUGUGAGGCUCGAGGCUGUUCACGCUGCCUGAGCUCCCUAGCACUGCACAGCGUGUAAGCAGCGCAAAGUGCGAUCUUGCUUUCAUUAGCAGUGAUUUUGGUUUGGGGUAAGUGGCAUAAUGCAUAAAAAGUAGCAAGUAAUAUAACAGUGUUAGUUUAUGAAAUUUGCGGUUCUCACACAUGCUCAAAAUAGUUGAAAGUUUUUUUUUUUUAAGAACGUAAGUUAAUUUAGCACGAUUAUAGUACUAUUGGAAAGCCUCAGAGUGACAUCAAUGGCACUUGAAGUGUUUGGGUUCCCCCCCCACGGCAAGAGGUACGACGAGGAAAUACAUUAAGAUAUAUAAGCACCUAGGACAGCGAUUCCCAAAUUCAGUCUCCUAAUACUUUUAAGUUUACAUCCAUUAUUUGUAUCUCUAUUUGCAGUUACAAGCCUAAGAGAAGUGAGGCUUCUAACCUAAAGCAUGGGUCCUCAUUACAAAAAUUUGCAAUUGCUGGUUAAGCAUAAAGUUCUUUAUGAACUUAUAAAAGAACUAAAUAAUGUACAAAUGGAUGUCAAAUUAACGUUACUUUUGGUAUGUUAUAUUUUGCAAUGGACCAAAAAAGACUUUGGAAGCAAUAGGGUUUUCUUGGAUCAACAGGAUUCCCAUACUGACUGCACAAGGAUGUGUCCCCUAAUGUCACGAGGAUGCUGAAGUCAAUCUGAGACCCAGAAGCUAACCUUCUUGUGCAAGAGUUAAAAGGAAGAGACUACUGUAGCUUGACACCCACUUUCAAAAAGCUUGUAUUUACAAGAUUAAGUAUUUUGCUUAAGCUAUGAAACUCAUCAUAUUGUGCAAAAAUAAAAAGUUACGUAAGAGAAAGUCAGAUUUUUGCAGCAAGAUUAACUUCAUAAGAUUAAAAAAAAAACAUGAAUAAUUUUAAAUGCUCUCUGCCUUGAGAAUUUCUUGAGUUUAGAUUAACUCAUUCUUCAAAAUUUGCACACGACCAUAUGCAGUUCUAGUAACCCUGACUUUUCAAUAAUUAUUGUAAUUAUUCACCUAGAUGUUUUCACAGCAGGACUCUGCAAAAGUGUUUUUCAUUUUUCAAUAGUAAGCUUCAUUUUGCAAUCUAAGAGCAAAACCCUAAUUGAAAUACCUCUCCAGUACAUUUCUAGUAAUUUUCACUUCAGAAGCUUUUUACCCCCGCCAUCUUCAGUAGCU
Dromaius novaehollandiae (emu) is the source of this 2063-nucleotide long non-coding RNA. RefSeq lists it as uncharacterized. Lineage: Eukaryota; Metazoa; Chordata; Aves; Casuariiformes; Dromaiidae. The transcript has 4 exons. The record is from RefSeq and is a predicted model, not a curated record.